UCGAGGAUCAUUCGCAAUGGGCGCAAGCCUGACGGUGCGACGCUGCGUGGAGGAUGAAGGCCUUCGGGUUGUAAACUCCUGUCGUGUGGGAACAAUAGUCUGGCCACUAACACCGGCUGGAAAUGAUAGUACCGCAAAAGGAAGCCACGGCUAACUCUGUGCCAGCAGCCGCGGUAAUACAGAGGUGGCGAGCGGGGGUCGGAUUUACUGGGCGUAAAGGGUGCGUAGGUGGCUUUGUAUGUCGGGCGUGAAAUCCCACUGCUCAACGGUGGAACGCCGCCCGAAACUGCAGGGCGAGAGUGCAGGAGAGGAGAGCGGAAUUCUUGGUGUAGCGGUGGAAUGCGUUGAUAUCAAGAAGAACACCAGUGGCGUAGGCGGCUCUCUGGAAUGUAACUGACACUGAGGCACGAAAGCGUGGGGAGCAAACA
This 428-nucleotide ribosomal RNA is filed under the name uncultured prokaryote. RNAcentral's name for it is "bacterial SSU rRNA". It matches the Rfam family "Bacterial small subunit ribosomal RNA", at positions 355 to 774 of the family's 1533-position model. The record is from RNAcentral.